Molecule: ribosomal RNA, 407 nt
Filed under: uncultured bacterium
Lineage: Bacteria
Description: partial 16S ribosomal RNA
Rfam family: Bacterial small subunit ribosomal RNA
Source: RNAcentral
GAUGAACGCUGGCGGCGUGCCUAAUACAUGCAAGUCGAACGAGGGGCGAACGGGUGAGUAACACGUGGGAAAACUCCCCUUCAGCGGGGGAUAACCCUCGGAAACGAGGACUAAUACCGCAUAAUGAAGGAUGUUGCCGCGGUGCAUCAGCUAGAUGGUGGGGUAACGGCCUACCGUGGCAUUGAUGCAUAGCCGACCUGGUAGGGUGAUCGGCCACAUUGGGACUUAGACACGGCCCAAACUCCUACGGGAGGCAGCAGUAGGGAAUCUUCCGCAAUGGACGCAAGUCUGACGGAGCAACGCCGCGUGUGUGAAGAAGGUCUUCGGAUCGUAAAGCUCUGUUAUCAGAGAAGCGGUAUCUGAUCAGAAAGCCACGGCUAACUACGUGCCAGCAGCCGCGGUAAUUC